GACGAACGCUGGCGGCGUGCCUAAUACAUGCAAGCCGAACGAGAGCGACCGGUGCUUGCACUGGUCAAUCUAGUGGCGAACGGGUGAGUAACACGUGGGUAACCUGCCCAUCAGAGGGGGAUAACAUUCGGAAACGGAUGCUAAAACCGCAUAGGUCUUCGAACCGCAUGGUUUGAAGAGGAAAAGAGGCGCAAGCUUCUGCUGAUGGAUGGACCCGCGGUGCAUUAGCUAGUUGGUGAGGUAACGGCUCACCAAGGCCGUGAUGCAUAGCCGACCUGAGAGGGUGAUCGGCCACAUUGGGACUGAGACACGGCCCAAACUCCUACGGGAGGCAGCAGUAGGGAAUCUUCCGCAAUGGACGCAAGUCUGACGGAGCAACGCCGCGUGAGUGAAGAAGGUUUUCGGAUCGUAAAACUCUGUUGUUAGAGAAGAACAAGUGCUAGAGUAACUGUUAGCGCCUUGACGGUAUCUAACCAGAAAGCCACGGCUAACUACGUG
This 498-nucleotide ribosomal RNA is filed under the name uncultured bacterium. RNAcentral's name for it is "partial 16S ribosomal RNA". It matches the Rfam family "Bacterial small subunit ribosomal RNA", at positions 28 to 507 of the family's 1533-position model. The record is from RNAcentral.